Molecule: ribosomal RNA, 410 nt
Filed under: uncultured microorganism
Description: bacterial SSU rRNA
Rfam family: Bacterial small subunit ribosomal RNA
Source: RNAcentral
GAGUUUGAUCAUGGCUCAGAUUGAACGCUAGCGGGAUGCCUUACACAUGCAAGUCGAACGGCAGCACGGACUUCGGUCUGGUGGCGAGUGGCGAACGGGUGAGUAAUGUAUCGGAACGUGCCUAGUAGCGGGGGGAUAACUACGCGAAAGCGUAGCUAAUACCGCAUACGCCCUACGGGGAAAGCAGGGGAUCGCAAGACCUUGCACUAUUAGAGCGGCCGAUAUCGGAUUAGCUAGUUGGUGGGGUAACGGCUCACCAAGGCGACGAUCCGUAGCUGGUUUGAGAGGACGACCAGCCACACUGGGACUGAGACACGGCCCAGACUCCUACGGGAGGCAGCAGUGGGGAAUUUUGGACAAUGGGGAAACCCUGAUCCAGCCAUCCCGCGUGUGCGAUGAAGGCCUCGGUU